Molecule: non-coding RNA, 669 nt
Organism: Ictidomys tridecemlineatus (thirteen-lined ground squirrel)
Lineage: Eukaryota; Metazoa; Chordata; Mammalia; Rodentia; Sciuridae
Source: RefSeq, a predicted model, not a curated record
GUGAGAUAAGGCUCUCAAGGAAGCCCCCUCCUGCUGCCUCUCCUCCCCACCCUCAUGUCCAGAGACAGAGCGGCGAUUUCCUGACCUUUCCCUACAAAUGGCCUGCAGCCCCCCUGGGGAAGGAAAAAUGGGUCAAACUGCCAGACUAGCUCCAGGAAACUCUUCUCAAGGAUGGUGCCCACUCCCUUUCAAAGGCGUUGAUCUCCUGUAUUCUUAGCAGCAGAGGUGAUUACAGCAGUAACUGUGAGACUCCCAACACCUUGGAUACCACAUCCCAAGACAUGCAAGUAUCCAGUCACUUAGGAUCAAGGGCCACAAAAUAUGGGGUCCCUCCAUCUGAGUGCCGGAGCUCAUCUUCUGCCUGCCAUGUCUGCCCUCCCACUCCCUCCCGUCAGAGCUUCCGGCAGAGACAGAGACAGGGACAAUCUCUGAAGCAUGGACCUGGAGCUCCUGGAAAAUGAAAGAACAAGAAAGAGGAAGAAAGAAAGGCCGAACACAAAUUUGAGCACCACAGAGUUAGGAAUAAUUUCUACCGGAGCAUAUUUUUCACAUCUGGGGACCUGAGUUCUCAGUGCCAGUCACGGAGGUGGCUAAAUCCCUCUUACACCGUCUUCUGUGUCCAGUUGUGCCUGGAAAGAUUUAUCACAGUGAACCCAAGUUAUCCACUUA